Molecule: long non-coding RNA, 365 nt
Filed under: Prunus persica (peach)
Lineage: Eukaryota; Viridiplantae; Streptophyta; Magnoliopsida; Rosales; Rosaceae
Description: long non-coding RNA (PPER_LNC006469)
Source: RNAcentral
UAGUUACCAAUGGCCUAUCACUUCUGGGUAUUUUGAUUGGCAUUUCCCUAUUUGGCUACUUAGUCACCUUUCUAAUGUGUUGGGCAGGCUUCUAAUAGGACCUCUGUCUGGCUGUGGCCCUGGAUAGGGCUGAAACUGCGGUCUGCUGGUGUGAUGCUCCGAUUAUGUCAAAAACGCUCACUAUGGGUUGUUUCUGCUCAUCCAGAAUUAUCUCUAGCUCGCAAUCACAUUUGCAUAUGCUGCACAAAACUACUCCAGUUGAAAUAGUAGCCUUUGGCUUUCAAUUUACCUUCUUUGUGACUCUUCUAUCCACGUUGGGAUUGAUUUCCAUUAUCAAUUUGCCUUUCUCCUAUUCUGGCUCGCUU